GCAUAUCAAUAAGCGGAGGAAAAGAAACCAACAGGGAUUGCCCUAGUAACGGCGAGUGAAGCGGCAACAGCUCAAAUUUGAAAUCUGGCCUCGGCCCGAGUUGUAAUUUGUAGAGGAAGCUUUUGGCGCGGCACCUUCUGAGUCCCCUGGAACGGGGCGCCAUAGAGGGUGAGAGCCCCGUAUAGUUGGAUGCCUAGCCUCUGUAAAGCUCCUUCGACGAGUCGAGUAGUUUGGGAAUGCUGCUCAAAACGGGAGGUAAAUUUCUUCUAAAGCUAAAUACCGGCCAGAGACCGAUAGCGCACAAGUAGAGUGAUCGAAAGAUGAAAAGCACUUUGAAAAGAGGGUUAAAUAGCACGUGAAAUUGUUGAAAGGGAAGCGCUUGUGACCAGACUUGCGCCGGGCUGAUCAUCCGGUGUUCUCACCGGUGCACUCUGCCCGGCUCAGGCCAGCAUCGGUUCUCGCGGGGGGAUAAAGGCCCUGGGAACGUAGCUCCUCCGGGAGUGUUAUAGCCCAGGGCGCAAUGCCCUCGCGGGGACCGAGGUUCGCGCUCUGCAAGGAUG
This 560-nucleotide ribosomal RNA is filed under the name Madurella pseudomycetomatis (nom. inval.). RNAcentral's name for it is "Madurella sp. 'pseudomycetomatis' partial 28S ribosomal RNA". It matches the Rfam family "Eukaryotic large subunit ribosomal RNA", at positions 38 to 625 of the family's 3401-position model. The record is from RNAcentral. Lineage: Eukaryota; Fungi; Ascomycota; Sordariomycetes; Sordariales.